UACGAAGGGGGCUAGCGUUGCUCGGAAUGACUGGGCGUAAAGGGCGCGUAGGCGGUUUGUACAGUCAGAUGUGAAAUUCCUGGGCUUAACCCGGGGGCUGCAUUUGAUACGUGCAGACUUGAGUGAGGAAGAGGGUUGUGGAAUUCCCAGUGUAGAGGUGAAAUUCGUAGAUAUUGGGAAGAACACCGGUGGCGAAGGCAGGUCUCUGGGCUAGAACUGACGCUCAUGCACGAAAGCGUGGGGAGCAAACAGG
This 253-nucleotide ribosomal RNA is filed under the name uncultured bacterium. RNAcentral's name for it is "partial 16S ribosomal RNA". It matches the Rfam family "Bacterial small subunit ribosomal RNA", at positions 524 to 776 of the family's 1533-position model. The record is from RNAcentral.